This 205-nucleotide ribosomal RNA is filed under the name uncultured bacterium. Its description in RNAcentral is "partial 16S ribosomal RNA". It matches the Rfam family "Bacterial small subunit ribosomal RNA", at positions 1296 to 1500 of the family's 1533-position model. The record is from RNAcentral.
GAUUGCAGGCUGCAACUCGCCUGCAUGAAGUCGGAAUUGCUAGUAAUCGUGGAUCAGCAUGCCACGGUGAAUACGUUCCCGGGCCUUGUACACACCGCCCGUCACACCAUGGGAGUUGGAAAUGCCCGAAGCCAGUGACCCAACCGUAAGGAGGGAGCUGUCGAAGGUGGAGCCGAUGACUGGGGUGAAGUCGUAACAAGGUAAC